Molecule: unclassified non-coding RNA, 311 nt
Filed under: uncultured fungus
Lineage: Eukaryota; Fungi
Description: partial contains 5.8S ribosomal RNA, internal transcribed spacer 2, and large subunit ribosomal RNA
Rfam family: 5.8S ribosomal RNA (bases 1-52)
Source: RNAcentral
AACGCACCUUGCACUCUUUGGUAUUCCGAAGAGUAUGUCUGUUUGAGUGUCGUGAAAUUCUCAACCCCCCUAUUUUGUAAUGAGAUAGGUUAAGGGGCUUGGAUAAUGGCUGCUUGCUGGUGCCUCACGGUAUCGGCUCAGCUGAAAUACACGAGCAACCUUGAUUUAAAUUUGAAAGUUGGAAUACUCGGCGUAAUAAUACUUUUUCGUUGAGAACCUCUUUUUACAAAGUUUAAAAUAAAAGGUGCUUCUAAUGUAAAAACAUUUAAGCUUUUGACCUCAAAUCAGAUAGGACUACCCGCUGAACUUAA